RNAcentral lists this ribosomal RNA (492 nucleotides) under uncultured bacterium. RNAcentral's name for it is "partial 16S ribosomal RNA". It matches the Rfam family "Bacterial small subunit ribosomal RNA", at positions 29 to 507 of the family's 1533-position model. The record is from RNAcentral.
AGUGAACGCUGGCGGUAGGCCUAACACAUGCAAGUCGAACGGCAGCACAGUAAUAGCUUGCUCUUACGGGUGGCGAGUGGCGGACGGGUGAGGAAUACAUCGGAAUCUACUUUUUCGUGGGGGAUAACGUAGGGAAACUUACGCUAAUACCGCAUACCACCUACGGGUGAAAGCAGUGGAUCUUCGGACCUUGCGCGAUUGAAUGAGCCGAUGUCGGAUUAGCUAGUUGGCGGGGUAAAGGCCCACCAAGGCGACGAUCCGUAGCUGGUCUGAGAGGAUGAUCAGCCACACUGGAACUGAGACACGGUCCAGACUCCUACGGGAGGCAGCAGUGGGGAAUAUUGGACAAUGGGCGCAAGCCUGAUACAGCCAUACCGCGUGGGUGAAGAAGGCCUUCGGGUUGUAAAGCCCUUUUGUUGGGAAAGAAAAGCAGCAGGUUAAUACCCCGCUGUUCUGACGGUACCCAAAGAAUAAGCACCGGCUAACUUCGUG